RNAcentral lists this ribosomal RNA (451 nucleotides) under uncultured bacterium. Its description in RNAcentral is "bacterial SSU rRNA". It matches the Rfam family "Bacterial small subunit ribosomal RNA", at positions 10 to 507 of the family's 1533-position model. The record is from RNAcentral.
AGUUUGAUCAUGGCUCAGAGCGAACGCUGGCGGCAGGCCUAAUACAUGCAAGUCGAACGGUCUCUUCGGAGGCAGUGGCGGACGGGUGAGUAACGCGUGGGAACGUGCCCUUUGGUACGGAACAACUGAGGGAAACUUCAGCUAAUACCGUAUGUGCCCUUCGGGGGAAAGAUUUAUCGCCAUUGGAGCGGCCCGCGUUGGAUUAGCUAGUUGGUGGGGUAAUGGCCCACCAAGGCGACGAUCCAUAGCUGGUCUGAGAGGAUGAUCAGCCACACUGGGACUGAGACACGGCCCAGACUCCUACGGGAGGCAGCAGUAGGGAAUCUUGCGCAAUGGGCGAAAGCCUGACGCAGCCAUGCCGCGUGAAUGAUGAAGGUCUUAGGAUUGUAAAAUUCUUUCACCGGGGACGAUAAUGACGGUACCCGGAGAAGAAGCCCCGGCUAACUUCGUG